UAUAAACACGCAUUGUGACAACAACAACAACAACAAAUAUGGCGGAGUCUGUAUUGUCAAACACAGAAGAAGAAGGAUACAACCAUAAAUAAACCAAGAAGUUUAUGAAGAAGGGAUCACUGGAUUUUGUCACUUUGGUACAAGAAACAGGAAAGGAUAUCAUAGACCACCUUACUUAUACGGAAGCAUAGGAGCUGUUGAAGGAAAUUGCUGCCAGACAGUCAGCAGUUAUCACUGACAGCCUGUCCUGGCCCAGCUUGGACCAUCCUCAAGCUAACCAUGAUGGUGUGUUUGCAAGAAUUGUCCAUUUGGUAGACCAUGAUGAAGACCAGCUUUGUUGUAGCAUGGCCUGACAAUACUGUACAAGCCAGAGACCAAAAAAGGGUUAAGUGGUGACUGAUCCUCUCAUCCUCCUUAUCCAGGAAACGUUUCGGAACAACGUGUUGGCACUGAAGAUGUGGAGGACACAGAUUGAUCUCAGUACAUCCUUUGGAUACAUGGACACCUUCAGAGGGACGACAACAAAACUGUACCUGCCUUUUUUUGAAAGGAAGUAGUUAAUAAAAUUAUUGUUAACAGCUUUUUUAGUCUUGUUGUUUAAGAAUGCUUUCAACAUUUAAGUGGAUAAACGGUUGUUUUAAAUUUGAAUCUUCAGUAAUGCAUUCUUUAUUAAAUGAUGUAAUCUUAUUUCUUUCAAUAUAGCGUAAAUAAUAAGAACAUAAUAAUCCUUUGUAUACAAAAUGAAAACCAAGUUUACUGUUCUAUUAAUCAUUAUUUAUUUAUCUUGUUCUUUUGUCAGAAAUAUUACAGGGGCAUACAUACAGUAUUCCUUAAAUAAAGGGGGCAGUUCUUAGAAAAUUAACAUGUAUUUUAGCAAUGCAUAUUCAAACUUUUUCCACAUUUAUAAUCAGCAACAAUAUUUAAGUAUUAUAAUGUAACACAAAUUAAUACUAUGAAUUUACUACUGAUUUUGCCGUGCCUGUCAUCAAAUAAACAUGUUUUACUGAAAGUUUCUUAAAAGAUGUUAUGUGGAAGACUUAAUCAAUCAUUUAAUAAAUAUUUGAGCCUCGCUCUGGGAAAAGGGGGUUUAAUGCAUGUACUUAAGGUUGUCCAAGAUUAGGCUGUGCAGACUGCACAGGCUAAUCAGGGGCAACACUUUCCGCC
This is a long non-coding RNA of Dreissena polymorpha, 1164 nucleotides long. RefSeq lists it as uncharacterized. The transcript has 4 exons. The record is from RefSeq and is a predicted model, not a curated record. NCBI's taxonomy places the organism in Eukaryota, Metazoa, Mollusca, Bivalvia, Myida, Dreissenidae.